This 253-nucleotide ribosomal RNA is filed under the name uncultured bacterium. RNAcentral describes it as "partial 16S ribosomal RNA". It matches the Rfam family "Bacterial small subunit ribosomal RNA", at positions 524 to 776 of the family's 1533-position model. The record is from RNAcentral.
UACGUAGGUGGCAAGCGUUGUCCGGAAUUAUUGGGCGUAAAGCGCGCGCAGGCGGUCCUUUAAGUCUGAUGUGAAAGCCCACGGCUCAACCGUGGAGGGUCAUUGGAAACUGGGGGACUUGAGUACAGAAGAGAAGAGUGGAAUUCCAGGUGUAGCGGUGAAAUGCGUAGAUAUCUGGAGGAACACCGGUGGCGAAGGCGGCAUCCUGGACCGACACUGACACUGAGGAGCGAAAGCCAGGGGAGCAAACGGG